CGUUCCCUUGUUUCGUUCCAGCAGAUCUGUGUUCACCAGUUCGUCCUUUGCGAUCCUCUCUGACCGCUGCUACCAUCAUUUUUACUUGUCGCUUGCUGCUCUCUUCUUCCCGCCUUACGUAGACUUUCUGAGCUUCCCUCAAUAAUUCAUCCAACCCUCUAUUCUGCCAGUCUUCUAACUUUUCAAUCUUCUUUCUAAUGUCUUCCCAUGAUUUUGCCACAAACUGAGUUUUGAGGAGCGCUUGCCCUAAAGGGUCGUCUGGAUUUACCCCAGAGUACAGCUGAAGGGCUUUCCUCAGUCGUUCCAGCCACUCAGUAGGGCUUUCAUCUUUCUUUUGCAUUUCAUUAAAUGCUUUAUUGAUAUUCUGGCCACGGGGUACUGCUUCUCUAAUUCCCUGAAUUACUAUAGUUCUCAGGUCCUGCAUAUGAGUUCUAUGCAUCGGAUCCUGAUUAUCCCAAUUAGGUCUUUGAAGUGGCCAUUUAAUAUCUGCUUGGGGUCCCUGGGCAUGUUGAGCAUCCCACAGUCUCAUUCCUGCUCGUCUAAUCAUAUCUCUUUCCUCGGUAGUAAAUAAUUGACCAAGGAUAGAUUGCAUCUCAUCCCAAGUAUAAAGGUUUGGUCCCAAAAAUUGAUUUAAUCUUUCUGCCACUCCCAGUGGGUCCUCAAUUAAGUUUCCCAUUUCAGUUCUUUUAAAAUCUCGUAGGUCAGCCGAGUUUAGGGGUACGGAAAUAUAUCCGAUCACAGGUUGAGGUCCCCCCAUGGGUAUUUCCCUUAGGGGGUACAUCUGAGCUGCCCCUUUUUGACUUCUAGUUACGCGUCUAGGAAGAGGGGGAGACCCUUGUUCCGACUCUGGUGGGGGAGUGGGCGCUCUGGGGACUUCUGUGGGAGCAGGAGGAGGAAUGUAAGGAGGGGGGGUUAGAAGGGUUUCGUCUAACUCUUCCUUCUUUUUCUUUUGUUUAGUUUUUAUUUCAUUCAGCGGAUAAAGUCUAGCUCUCGGUCUUUCUAGCCACACUUCCGCAUAUUGACUCUCCUCCGGGUUAAGGGGAUUUUUAUUAUUAACCCAGAGGUUUAAUUGCUGUCUUACCCAGUCUUCUUCUGACCCAUAGACUGGCCAAAAGACAUUUUUAGAAAUCUUCUUCCCUCCCCAUAUCUUAGUACAAUAUUCUAUCAUUUUUUGCUUAUCUUUCCCUAGGGUUCCAGGGGAAUAUCUCCAAUUGUCUAAGAUAUAUGCCAGAGGGGUAUUUUUAGGUACAGUGUGUUUGGUCCCAAAAAUUGAUUUAAUCUUUCUGCCACUCCCAGUGGGUCCUCAAUUAAGUUUCCCAUUUCAGUUCUUUUAAAAUCUCGUAGGUCAGCCGAGUUUAGGGGUACGGAAAUAUAUCCGAUCACAGGUUGAGGUCCCCCCAUGGGUAUUUCCCUUAGGGGGUACAUCUGAGCUGCCCCUUUUUGACUUCUAGUUACGCGUCUAGGAAGAGGGGGAGACCCUUGUUCCGACUCUGGUGGGGGAGUGGGCGCUCUGGGGACUUCUGUGGGAGCAGGAGGAGGAAUGUAAGGAGGGGGGGUUAGAAGGGUUUCGUCUAACUCUUCCUUCUUUUUCUUUUGUUUAGUUUUUAUUUCAUUCAGCGGAUAAAGUCUAGCUCUCGGUCUUUCUAGCCACACUUCCGCAUAUUGACUCUCCUCCGGGUUAAGGGGAUUUUUAUUAUUAACCCAGAGGUUUAAUUGCUGUCUUACCCAGUCUUCUUCUGACCCAUAGACUGGCCAAAAGACAUUUUUAGAAAUCUUCUUCCCUCCCCAUAUCUUAGUACAAUAUUCUAUCAUUUUUUGCUUAUCUUUCCCUAGGGUUCCAGGGGAAUAUCUCCAAUUGUCUAAGAUAUAUGCCAGAGGGGUAUUUUUAGGUACAGUGUGUACCCUCCCCAUGGGAGUCGAAGGCUUGCUGCCCUUCGCCCCCAU
Long non-coding RNA from Strigops habroptila (Kakapo), 1944 nucleotides. The record is from Ensembl. NCBI's taxonomy places the organism in Eukaryota, Metazoa, Chordata, Aves, Psittaciformes, Psittacidae.